AGAGUUUGAUCAUGGCUCAGAUUGAACGCUGGCGGUAUGCAUAACACAUGCAAGUCGAACGGUAACAGUCCCUCACCUAGAAAUUUCUUAAAAAGAGAUUUGUAGGUGAGGGAGCUGACGAGUGGCGGACGGGUGCGUAAUGUAUAGGAAUCUGCCUAGUAGUGGGGGACAACUCGGAGAAAUUCGAGCUAAUACCGCAUAAGCCCUCCGGGGGAAAACGGGGGAUCUUCGGACCUCGUGCUAUUAGAUGAGCCUAUAUUAGAUUAGCUUGUUGGUGAGGUAAUGGCUCACCAAGGCGACGAUCUAUAGCUGGUCUGAGAGGAUGAUCAGCCACACUGGGACUGAGACACGGCCCAGACUCCUACGGGAGGCAGCAGUGGGGAAUAUUGGACAAUGGGCGAAAGCCUGAUCCAGCAAUACCGCGUGUGUGAAGAAGGCCUGAGGGUUGUAAAGCACUUUCAAUUGGGAGGAAUACCUAAUAGUUAAUAGCUAUUAGAUUGAC
Molecule: ribosomal RNA, 502 nt
Filed under: uncultured bacterium
Lineage: Bacteria
Description: bacterial SSU rRNA
Rfam family: Bacterial small subunit ribosomal RNA
Source: RNAcentral